UUAGCCGGUUGGUGAGGUAACGGCUCACCAAAGCAACGAUCAGUAGCUGGUCUGAGAGGACGACCAGCCACACUGGGACUGAGACACGGCCCAGACUCCUACGGGAGGCAGCAGUGGGGAAUUUUGGACAAUGGGCGCAAGCCUGAUCCAGCUAUUCCGCGUGUGGGAUGAAGGCCCUCGGGUUGUAAACCACUUUUGUAGAGAACGAAAAGACACCUUCGAAUAAAGGGUGUUGCUGACGGUACUCUAAGAAUAAGCACCGGCUAACUACGUGCCAGCAGCCGCGGUAAUACGUAGGGUGCGAGCGUUAAUCGGAAUUACUGGGCGUAAAGGGUGCGCAGGCGGUUGAGUAAGACAGAUGUGAAAUCCCCGAGCUUAACUCGGGAAUGGCAUAUGUGACUGCUCGACUAGAGUGUGUCAGAGGGAGGUGGAAUUCCACGUGUAGCAGUGAAAUGCGUAGAUAUGUGGAAGAACACCGAUGGCGAAGGCAGCCUCCUGGGACAUAACUGACGCUCAGGCACGAAAGCGUGGGGAGCAAACAGGAUUAGA
RNAcentral lists this ribosomal RNA (549 nucleotides) under uncultured bacterium. RNAcentral describes it as "bacterial SSU rRNA". It matches the Rfam family "Bacterial small subunit ribosomal RNA", at positions 241 to 782 of the family's 1533-position model. The record is from RNAcentral.